GGCCUCCUGGUGCUUACCACAGGUUGUGUUCUUGCACUGACGAUAUAGAAAAAGGAAGCAGAGUGAGCUGACCCCAUACACAUCUCAGCCCAGGCCUGGUGCCUGGUCUGAAUUGUGAAUAGGGGAACAUGG
This 132-nucleotide small nucleolar RNA is filed under the name Dasypus novemcinctus (nine-banded armadillo). Its description in RNAcentral is "Small nucleolar RNA SNORA51 (ENSDNOG00000030772.1)". It matches the Rfam family "Small nucleolar RNA SNORA51". Rfam says of the family: ACA51 is a member of the H/ACA class of snoRNA that guide the sites of modification of uridines to pseudouridines. The record is from RNAcentral. Lineage: Eukaryota; Metazoa; Chordata; Mammalia; Cingulata; Dasypodidae.